AUUGAACGCUGGCGGCAGGCCUAACACAUGCAAGUCGAACGGCAGCACAGAAGAGCUUGCUCUUUGGGUGGCGAGUGGCGGACGGGUGAGUAACACGUAGGAAUCUACCCAGUAGUGGGGGAUAACCUGGGGAAACCCAGGCUAAUACCGCAUACGCCCUGAGGGGGAAAGCGGGGGAUCUUCGGACCUCGCGCUAUUGGAUGAGCCUGCGUCGGAUUAGCUAGUUGGUGGGGUAAGGGCUCACCAAGGCGACGAUCCGUAGCUGGUCUGAGAGGAUGACCAGUCACACCGGAACUGAGACACGGUCCGGACUCCUACGGGAGGCAGCAGUGGGGAAUUUUGGACAAUGGGGGCAACCCUGAUCCAGCCAUUCCGCGUGAGUGAAGAAGGCCUCGGUUGUAAGACGUCUUCUAGCAGGAACGAAACGGUAGGU
Molecule: ribosomal RNA, 433 nt
Filed under: uncultured bacterium
Lineage: Bacteria
Description: bacterial SSU rRNA
Rfam family: Bacterial small subunit ribosomal RNA
Source: RNAcentral